ACCACUUCUCCAAGGUCUAUAAAACUUUAGUCCCUUAUUGUGCCACCUCACUGAAGUUUUAAGCUCUUUUGAAGAUUCAGAUAGAAGGUUUCUGCAAGCCUUGAUGGCGAAUGAACAUAAAGACAGCUCUGCUAAAAAGACCUGGCCAAAGACUUCAGCAGUCCCCUGUUGGUAGAAGAACUAAUAAUAAAUGCCAAUACUAUUGUAUGGCUACAUACAGUUCUGGGCCAAGUCACACAGGUGACAGUCUAGAUGGGAGUCUGACAUUCAGUCAGCAAACACACCGAUCCCAAGCCACGACAAGUCAACUGAGGAGCAAGUUUUUAAAAGCAUUAAUGUUGGAAUUUGUAUAUAGUGGAAAACAACAUGAAUGGCAAAGAGAGACACGUGGAGAAGAUGAGAUAGUACGUACAUAUCUUCCUUGUCCUGCUUUUAGAAAAUCUUUGAAUAUUUUUCAAGAUGGUUCUCAGAAACUCCUGCCAGCCUCCUCUGAAGAGCCGCACACCUACUUGCACGCUGGUCCCACGGCAGUAGGACGUGACCUCCGGAGCUGCUUAAGCAGGCAGGAUCGGGAGGGCCAAGGGUGAGGAGAGUGCAGCCCUUCUUUUGGAUAUAAAAAUUGAAGUUGUACCCAAACUUCAGUAAGGAGAAUAAAUAAUAUUUCAGUGCAAUAUUUUAGAAGAUAAAAAUUCACGAAAAUCCAUGAUGAGAAGAAAUAUUUUGAAAUUAUCAGUAAAGGCAUGAAGGGUAUCACUGAAUUUUCCUUUUGUGUCAGGUCUGUCAGGUUCCACUGUAGUUCGGCAUGUUGCUAACCAAUAUGCACACAUUUUGGAAUCCUUGGCAUCCUAAUAAGUGCAUGAAGAUAAUAUAUAUAUAUAAACAUAUAUUAUAUAUGUAAAUAUAUAUAUACUUUCUUUCUGUGCAUCAGCCAAAGAAAGGCUGAGGUGAGGACAAAAGCAGAUCCCUGAAGAAGAGUUCUCUGAGGACUCUGACCCCACGAAUGAGAGACACUGUCCCUCCUCAGAGCUUCCUAAAGAACGUGCCCUUUUCCCUGCCUUUUCCCGGCCUCCACACAGCCUUUCGCUAGAGUCAGGACAGGUCACUGAAGUCCAAGAGUGCCAGCACUUGUAUGUUCUACGAAGAACAAGGAGCACACAGACAUGCUCAAGGGACCACAACAGGUCACUCACUGACCAAUACAUAAAAUGUUCCAGUGGAAGGCAUGACCUCAUCGGUAUCUACCACCACCCACACACACUGGCUGCACUUAUGGCUCCAGGACUAAAUUAAAAAAAAAAAAAAG
This is an RNA transcript of Chinchilla lanigera (long-tailed chinchilla), 1303 nucleotides long. RefSeq lists it as uncharacterized. The transcript is spliced from 4 exons. Lineage: Eukaryota; Metazoa; Chordata; Mammalia; Rodentia; Chinchillidae. The record is from RefSeq and is a predicted model, not a curated record.